Macaca fascicularis (crab-eating macaque) is the source of this 4409-nucleotide long non-coding RNA. The record is from Ensembl. Lineage: Eukaryota; Metazoa; Chordata; Mammalia; Primates; Cercopithecidae.
AAAAAAAAAAAAAAAAACCUGCAACAACAAAAACAACAAACUAAGCUGGAGAAACUGUUAUAGGUAAGAGGAGACAGAAAAAGACAUUAAGUAAAUCUAUGGAAAUCUGAAUAAACUAUAGGUGUCAGUUAAUAAUAAUGUAUUAAUAUUGGUUCAUUAAUUAUAAGAAAUGUCCCUACCAAUAUAAGAUGGCAAUAAUAGGGAAAACUGGGGGGGGAGGGGCGUGUAUGGGAACUCUAUAAUAUGUUCCUGAUUUUUCUGUAAAUCUAAAGCAGUUUCCAAAAAUGAAGUCUACAUUUAAAAAAAUGUAAGCCAUGCUAAACCUAAACACAACUUCCUAAGAGUUAGAAUAAUUAUUGAUCUAAUUUAUAAAUAUCAGGGUUUUCUGGACGAAGAGGGUGUUCCUUACAAAUCUUUGCUAACUCCAGUCACUUCUUGAACAGGCAAGGAAUUAUUACACCUAAGUGGUUUCCUUGCCUCUGCUCUUGCCCCUCCUUCCCCUCCUCCUCAGCCUGAGUCAUUCUCUUAAAAAGGUAAAAUAAAAUCACGAAAAACUUUCCAACGGCUUCCCACCUCACAAGUAAGAGCCACAACUUCUUACAAAGUUCUCAAGGCACUACAUGAUCUAGUUGCUGCUCCCUUACACUUCUGAUUUUAGCUCCUAUUUUUUACUCCAGCCACACAGGUCUCUUGCCUCAUCCCUCAAACUCACUCCUCAUUUCCCCUUAGGUCUCUGCUUAAAUUUCACCUCACUCAAGAUUUCCCUGACUACUUCAUAUAAAACAACAUCCUUACUCUGUCCUCUCUCUCCACAUGCCCUAACCCUCUUUAUUUUUCUCCAUGCAUUAAUACUCAACAUACUAUAUAUAGUGUGCUAGUUUGCCCAGUAUGCACUGAAAGGUAAACUCCUUCAGGACAGAGCCUUUGCUUUAUUCACUGGUACAUCCCAAGCACCCAGAAUAGUAUGUGGUACACAGUAGGUACUCAUAAAUAAUUACAACCCAUGUACAGUUUUGGAAGAGAAAUCACCUUCAAGUUAGAGCUGAAUCAUCUCUCAAACUUUUACUGAGUGCCUACUUGACUAGGCAGGCAUUCUGCUAAGGACUAGGGACUCAGAAAUGAAAGAUUAAGCCAGUAGGUCAGUCCAUGCUAAUUAAAAACUGAAUUAUCUGAGACUUAAUAUUAUUAAUUUUAGGCAUUAUAUCAGGAUUUCAUAUAAGGCCAAAACCUACUUGAGCUACCAUCUAAUGAUGUUAAUUAUUGAAGCACAAAUCAAGAGAGCUCUACAUCAUAAGUCACAAAGAGCAAUACAGAGAAAUGGUGGGUUUUUUUUUUUUUUUUUGGAGACAGAGUCUUACACUGUCACCCAGGCUGGAAGUGAAACUCCAUCUCAAAAAAAAAAAUUAUAUUCAUCCAACCUUAGUGAUCAUUUUUAAUUUUUCAUGAACUAUGCAACACUACCAAAUAAGAAGGUGGUUUCUAGAUAAGCCUUGCUGUCAUGCAUGGCAUGUGUUCAAUCUCUUACGGUUGGCCCAUCUCCAUAUCCCACAUAAUAAUGUUUUUUAAAAAUCUGUAUGCUUUAUGGUUUUAAAAUCCAUUUCAGAAGGUAUUAAUCCCAGGAAUAAUAACCUGAUAGUCACUGGUCUGUUGAGAUUGCUUAUUUUUUAAACAAAAGCCAGAAUUUCUUUUUUGUAAUCCUAAAAGGAAAAAGCAUGCCUCAAAACAUGGUCUUGAUUUCUAAUUCCCACGUUUGGACCAGUACAGACUCUUCUUUGAAUAUAUGUACGUUUAUGUAAGAUAGGACCUAUGGUGGCCCAGCAUAGCCCUUCUUAAUCCCCAAGCCCUGGGUAGUCAUGGUAGGGAGAGAAUAGUAAACUUUUACCAUCACCUUACAUACUCCAAGUAUUACCUCAGCUAAAGCCUAGAGAAGAAUGAACCAAAUGAACGAAGUUUCAAUCUUCAUAUUCCCAGCCUAGCAUAAAACAAAUCUUCCAUCUCCUCCCCACACACUCAUGAAUAAGGUAUGAAAUUGAGGACAAGGAAGGUUAGAAUUUUGCAAAGGGAAGUAUCAUCUUCUUUCAGUCACUGUCACAUUUUUAAAAAAUUUAUAAUUUCCUCAAAAAACCAAAACAGGCCAGGUGCAGUGGCUCACACCUAUAAUCCCAGCACUUUGGGAGGCCAAGGCUGGAGGACUGUUUGAGUCCAGUAAUUCAAGAUCAGCCUGGGCAACAUAGUGAGACUCCAUCUCUACAAAAAAUAAUUAGCUGGGCAUAGUGGCACCUGUGGUCCCAGCUACUCAGGGGGCUAGGGUGGGAGGAUGGCUUGAGCUCAGCAGGUCAAGGCUACAGUUAGCUGUGAUCGGGCUGCUGCACUUCAGCUUGGGCAACAGAGUGAGACUAUCUCAAAAACAAAAACAACAACAAAAAACUAAAACAAACCAGCAAAGAUUAGUUAUCUGGUUAUCACUUUCUAUACUGUUUAAGUGUGAACAUUUUUUAGUCAACUUCACUAUAACAAAGAAAAUUAAUUUCUAAAGCCGAUAUAGCCAAGGCAAAAAAAUUCAUCUAAAAUGUCCACUCAUGCAGUGAAGACAGUAUAUGACUGUAAGAUAAAAUGCUUUUAAAUAUGUGCUCUUAUGGUUCAUAUCCAGAUAUGAAUAACAUAUAAACCUACUCCUUGAUGCGUAAGAAAUAAAACACAUUCCAGGUUUAAAAAUCAAUUAGCAAAUGUUUCAUAAAAUACGUUAAAUCUGAGAAAACAAACCAGUACUUGCACACAAGUAAUAAGUUACUUAAACACUGAAUAAAUGAUUUUGCCUUAAGGAGUCAUAUCACUUUGUCCUUUUUGUGUUAAAUAAUUUGGUCACUAAUGCCUAGAAUGUAAUAAAAAUAGAAUUCUCUUCAAGCUUUGAAAAUAUUGUUACAGUUUUAGGUAUAUCAGCUUUUCACAGGUGAGAAAGAUAAAUAUUCUGGAUUGGAAGUUAGGAGCCCCAAAUUCCAGUCCUGCUUCUGCAAAUAAAUGCUACAAGACUUUGAGCAAAAUACAUACUCUUGUAGAAUACUUGUUUUCCUACUUAUAAAGCCUAAUGUUCUUUGUAGUUCUAAUAUUCUCAGUUAAGAUUAAUAUUUUUACUUCAUUUAGCACACAGUAUUCUUUGGUAUAAAAUCUGAACAGAAAUAAACACUAAGUCCACUGAAUUAAGUCUGCACGGAACUCUAGCAUAUACCUAUCCCAUUCAUACCUAAAUGCCAAAUAUUUUUAAAUCUUUAUUUUGUUUUAGUUAAUCCAGUUUGAUAAGUUAAAAGUAAAAACAUGUAGCCUAAGAAUAAUCAGCUCUUAUUAAGAAAUUAUUUAUCAUGAAUUUUAAAAAAUAAACUAGGGAACUUUGAAACAACUGUGUAACAGCUGUAUAAAAGCACAGCUCUGCAAACAAAGCUACAGGAUUCAAAUCCAGUUCUAUAUAAAUUCUGUGACUUAGAGGCUAGCCACACAGAUAAUUAGUUAGAUUUAACCAAGUCUCCGUUUCCUCAACAGUAAAAUAUGGGUAAUAGUAACACCUACCUUCAUCAGGUUGUUGUGAGAAUAAACAAUAAAGCAUAUAUGGUCAGCAGCAACUAGCACAGUCCAGCAACUGGCACAUAAUGAAUGCUGAAUCAAUGCUAUUAUUAUUGCAUCUAAAGGUGAGGUCUGCAUUUAUACAAAUGACAUUUAUUGACUGCCAAGUGUUAUGCUAGGGACUAGAGAAAUAAAACAGCAUAAGUAAAUAAACAUAACACAAUCUGGGAAGACUUCCUCUAGGACAUGACAACUGAGUAUUAAAAGGAAGAGGAGAGGCCGGGCGCAGUGGCUCACGCCUGUAAUCCCAGCGCUUUGGGAGGCUGAGGUGGGCAGAUCACAAGGUCAGGAGAUUGAAACCAUCCUGGCUAACAUGGUGAAACCCCGUCUCUACUAAAAAAAAUUCAAAAACUUAGCUGGGCGUGGUGGCGGGCCCCUGUAGUCCCAGCUACUCAGGAGGCUGAGGCAGGAGAAUGCUGUGAACCCGGGAGGCGGAGCUUGCAGUGAGCUGAGAUGGAGCCACUGCACUCCAGCCUGGGGGAUAAAGCGAGACUUCAUCUCAAAACAAAACAAAACAAAGGAAGAGGAGAAAUUAUCCAAGGAAAGAAAAAGAAGGUUUCAAGGAGACAAAAUCACAUAUACAAAGACCUAGAAAUAUUCCUAACAUGGCACAUUAGAACUGUAGUAAUUCAGCAUGGUUGUAUUGGAGAAUAGGGAUAUGAGGUAGACGGGAAUCAAACAAUGGAAUAUUAUAUACCAAAAUAAGGAUCUCACAUUUUAUCUUCAAGGGAAUCAAGAGCGUCUCAAGAAUUUUAGUAAGAGUUAAAUUUAUACUUUUUUGAGACAGGGUCUUG